This 1275-nucleotide ribosomal RNA is filed under the name Triticum aestivum (bread wheat). RNAcentral's name for it is "partial small subunit ribosomal RNA". The record is from RNAcentral. Lineage: Eukaryota; Viridiplantae; Streptophyta; Magnoliopsida; Poales; Poaceae.
AUGAUCGGUGAAAUGGAUGAGGACAGCGUUGUAGGAUACUUUAGGAACAAGAGCAUCCUCAUUACUGGUUCAACUGGGUUCCUAGGAAAAGGUUACAGCGAAGGAGAUCUUUCAACUGCUGAAAAAAAAACAUGGUGUGGGGUUCGAAAAUUUUAUCGAAGAAAAGAUCUGUCCUUUGGCAGGAGAUAUCAUGAGGACUUUGGACUAGAUAGUGCCCAGCUGAGAGCUUUGUGCAAGGACAUAGACAUCAUCGUUAACGGUGCUGCAACUACGAAUUUCUCUGAAAGAUAUGACGCGGCUUUCGACGUGAAUGUCUUGGGAGCGAAGAACGUCUGCGCAUUCGCAAACAAGUGUACUAAGCUCAAGAUGUUACUUCAUGUUUCAACUGCCUACGUAGCUGGUGAACAAGAGGGGUUAAUACCAGAGAAGCCAUUCUUGAUGGAGAAAGCUGAGAAGAAAACAAUGAAAGAGCUUGGCCUCAAGAGGGCACGACACUUUGGGUGGCCAAACACCUAUGUCUUCACAAAGGCAAUGGGGGAGAUGAUUAUGGGACACCUGCGGGGGCGCUUUCUGGUGGUCAUCAUCCGCCCGAGCAUCAUAACGAGUACACUCAAGGAGCCAUUUCCUGGAUGGAUGGAAGGAAUCAGAACAAUUGACUUGGUGAUGAUCGGCUAUGCCAAGCAGAUCUUGCCAUUCUUCAUCGGCGACCUUGAUUUAAUAAUAGACGUGAUUCCGGGGGACAUUGUGGUGAACGCUAUGAUGGUUGCCAUGGCAGCACAAUUAAAGGAUCAACAACCGCAGAUCAUCUACCAUGUAACUUCCUCUUUACGCAACCCAGCACCCUCCGCCCUUGUUGUGGAAUCAAUGCACUGUUACUUCUUCGAAAAUCCGUUGUGCAAAGGAAGGAAUGGCGAGCAUGUCCGGAUGAAGAAGAUGAGGUUCUUCAGCACGCUCGCACAGUUGAGAUUUUACACCGCCCUCGUGUACAAGCUUCCGCUCCAGAUGCUUGGCCUGCUGAACAUUGCCCUUUGUGGUGUUUUCUCACGGUACUACAACAAGCUUAGCAGAAAAUACAUAUUCUUCAUGCAUAUGGUCGAGCUCUACGCACCAUUACGCUUUGAUGACACAAACUUGGAGAGGCUAAGGAUGGCAAUGAACACGGAUCAAAAUAACAAUGGGUCCUAUUACUUGGACUUUGACCCCAAGUCCGUUGACUGGGACGACUAUUUCUACCGUGUUCACAUCCCCGGUGUGGUCAAGUAUACAUGUCAUUGA